CAAAGGCUUGGUCCUGACUUUACUAUCAACUCUAGCUGAACUUACACAUGCAAGUAUCCGCGCCCCUGUGAAAAUGCCCUAACAGUUCCCCGCCCGGGAACAAGGAGCUGGCAUCAGGCACAUCCACCCAUUGCCCACGACGCCUUGCUUAGCCACACCCCCAAGGGAACUCAGCAGUGAUAAACAUUAAGCCAUAAGUGAAAACUUGACUUAGUUAAGGCUAAGAGAGCCGGUAAAACUCGUGCCAGCCACCGCGGUUAUACGAGAGGCUCAAGUUGAUAGAAUACGGCGUAAAGCGUGGUUAAGGAAGAUUAUUAAACUAAAGCCGAACACCCUCAGAGCUGUUAUACGCUCACGAUGGUUAGAAGCCCAAUUACGAAAGUAGCUUUACACACCCUGAACCCACGAAAGCUAUGGCACAAACUGGGAUUAGAUACCCCACUAUGCUUAGCCUUAAACAUCAAUAGUAUAAUACACCCACUAUUCGCCCGGGAACUACGAGCGCUAGCUUAAAACCCAAAGGACUUGGCGGUGCUUUAGAUCCACCUAGAGGAGCCUGUUCUAGAACCGAUAACCCCCGUUCAACCUCACCCUUCCUUGCUCUUUUCCGCCUAUAUACCGCCGUCGCCAGUUUACCCUAUGAAGGACCCACAGUAAGCACAAUCGGCAAAGCCCAGAACGUCAGGUCGACGUGUAGCGUAUGGAAGGGGAAGAAAUGGGCUACAUUCCCUAACACAGUGUAUACGAAAGAUGCGCUGAAACGCACAUCAUGAAGGAGGAUUUAGCAGUAAGCAGGAAAUAGAGUGUCCCGCUGAAAUCGGCCCUGAAGCGCGCACACACCGCCCGUCAUUCUCCCCAAACUUAAACAAACACCUAACCAAGACCCUAUAAUUUCUAAGGGGAGGCAAGUCGUAACAUGGUAAGUGUACCGGAAGGUGCACUUGGAACAAAU
This 952-nucleotide non-coding RNA is filed under the name Leiopotherapon unicolor (spangled perch). RNAcentral's name for it is "12S ribosomal RNA". It matches the Rfam family "Bacterial small subunit ribosomal RNA". Lineage: Eukaryota; Metazoa; Chordata; Actinopteri; Centrarchiformes; Terapontidae. The record is from RNAcentral.